AUACAGAGGGUGCAAGCGUUAAUCGGAUUUACUGGGCGUAAAGCGUGCGUAGGUGGCCAAUUAAGUCAAAUGUGAAAUCCCCGAGCUUAACUUGGGAAUUGCAUUCGAUACUGGUUGGCUAGAGUAUGGGAGAGGAUGGUAGAAUUCCAGGUGUAGCGGUGAAAUGCGUAGAGAUCUGGAGGAAUACCGAUGGCGAAGGCAGCCAUCUGGCCUAAUACUGACACUGAGGUACGAAAGCAUGGGGAGCAAACAGGAUUAGAUACCCUGGUAGUCCAUGCCGUAAACGAUGUCUACUAGCCGUUGGGGUCUUUGAGACUUUAGUGGCGCAGCUAACGCGAUAAGUAGACCGCCUGGGGAGUACGGUCGCAAGACUAAA
RNAcentral lists this ribosomal RNA (376 nucleotides) under uncultured bacterium. RNAcentral describes it as "bacterial SSU rRNA". It matches the Rfam family "Bacterial small subunit ribosomal RNA", at positions 523 to 898 of the family's 1533-position model. The record is from RNAcentral.